RNAcentral lists this ribosomal RNA (37 nucleotides) under Ampelomyces quisqualis. RNAcentral describes it as "partial 18S ribosomal RNA". Lineage: Eukaryota; Fungi; Ascomycota; Dothideomycetes; Pleosporales; Phaeosphaeriaceae. The record is from RNAcentral.
CCCUUCCGUAGGUGAACCUGCGGAAGGAUCAUUAUUU